UACGGAGGAUUCAAGCGUUAUCCGGAUUUAUUGGGUUUAAAGGGUGCGUAGGCGGAUUGAUAAGUUAGAGGUGAAAUGUCCGAGCUCAACUCGGGAACUGCCUCUAAUACUGUUGAUCUAGAGAGUAGAUGCGGUAGGCGGAAUGUAUGGUGUAGCGGUGGAAUGCGCAGAUAUCGGGAAGAACACCGGUGGCGAAGGCGGCCUUCUGGGCCAUCACUGACGCUGAGGCGCGAAAGCUAGGGGAGCAAACAGG
Molecule: ribosomal RNA, 253 nt
Filed under: uncultured bacterium
Lineage: Bacteria
Description: partial 16S ribosomal RNA
Rfam family: Bacterial small subunit ribosomal RNA
Source: RNAcentral